UGUAAGUGUGCUCUGGACACGCCCUAGAAGAGAAGGGUGGCCGUAAUACCUUGAGUGUGCUAGACAAGCCCUUAUGCACAGAGGCAAUGUCACCUUAUCUAGGGCAUCUUGUUCGCACAUUCACAGGGUACAGAAUGCGAACACACUCACUCACGCAGCACGGUCUGCCCACAUGAACUUGCGUAGUACGACAUGCUUGUGCAUUGAGCAGCAUGACAUGUCUGUGCGCGCCAUGAUGAGGUGGGCAUCUCUUCUUCCCUCUCUCGCGUAACACAGUGUACCCUUAUGGAUGUUCACCUGCACCUGGGCACUUGGUUGAGCAGACACUCACGCUUGUUAUGCUUUGGCAAGGACUGGCUUCCACACUGAAGGCAUGUUAAGGCAGUCCCUCGCACAUGCAUGUGCAAGUCUUAUAUGGGCUCCCUCAGCAUGCAGGUGUGCCUGGCAAAGCUCGCAUACGAGUGCACUGCUAUGUGCGCGCAUUACAUGCCCUAUGGCAAUAUCCCAACACAUGUACAUGCUUGGACAAUGUCCCUCGCAUGUUUGGCAUGCCGUGGUGCCCCUACUGCAACCUGUCUACAACAUGCCAGUGCCUCCCUCUUUUUUCUGACUUUUUUCAAUCAAUCACACAUUAUUAU
RNAcentral lists this long non-coding RNA (638 nucleotides) under Carica papaya (papaya). RNAcentral describes it as "long non-coding RNA (CPAP_LNC005350)". Lineage: Eukaryota; Viridiplantae; Streptophyta; Magnoliopsida; Brassicales; Caricaceae. The record is from RNAcentral.